RNAcentral lists this ribosomal RNA (460 nucleotides) under uncultured bacterium. RNAcentral's name for it is "partial 16S ribosomal RNA". It matches the Rfam family "Bacterial small subunit ribosomal RNA", at positions 338 to 795 of the family's 1533-position model. The record is from RNAcentral.
CCUACGGGAGGCAGCAGUGAGGAAUAUUGGUCAAUGGGCGCGAGCCUGAACCAGCCAAGUAGCGUGAAGGAUGACUGCCCUACGUGUUGUAAACUUCUUUUAUAAAGGAAUAAAGUGUGGCACGCGUGCCCGGUUGUGUGUACCUGAUGAAUAAGCAUCGGCUAACUCCGUGCCAGCAGCCGCGGUAAUACGGAGGAUGCGAGCGUUAUCCGGAUUUACUGGGUGUAAAGGGUGCGUAGGCGGUGAGUUAAGUCUGAAGUGAAAGCCCGGGGCCCAACCCCGGCACUGCGGUUGAAACUGGCUGACUGGAGUGGUAGAGAGGGAAGCGGAAUUCGUGGUGUAGCGGUGAAAUGCGUAGAUAUUAGGAAGAACACCGAUGGCGAAGGCAGCUUGCCGGCGAGACACUGACGCUGAGGCUCGAAAGCGUGGGUAUCGAACAGGAUUAGAUACCCGGGUAGUC